Molecule: ribosomal RNA, 492 nt
Filed under: uncultured bacterium
Lineage: Bacteria
Description: partial 16S ribosomal RNA
Rfam family: Bacterial small subunit ribosomal RNA
Source: RNAcentral
AGUGAACGCUGGCGGUAGGCCUAACACAUGCAAGUCGAACGGCAGCACAGUAAGAGCUUGCUCUUACGGGUGGCGAGUGGCGGACGGGUGAGGAAUACAUCGGAAUCUACUUUUUCGUGGGGGAUAACGUAGGGAAACUUACGCUAAUACCGCAUACGACCUACGGGUGAAAGCAGGGGAUCUUCGGACCUUGCGCGAUUGAAUGAGCCGAUGUCGGAUUAGCUAGUUGGCGGGGUAAAGGCCCACCAAGGCGACGCUCCGUAGCUGGUCUGAGAGGAUGAUCAGCCACACUGGAACUGAGACACGGUCCAGACUCCUACGGGGGGCAGCAGUGGGGAAUAUUGGACAAUGGGCGCAAGCCUGAUCCAGCCAUACCGCGUGGGUGAAGAAGGCCUUCGGGUUGGAAAGCCCUUUUGUUGGGAAAGAAAAGCAGCAGGUUAAUACCCCGCUGUUCUGACGGUACCCAAAGAAUAAGCACCGGCUAACUUCGUG